This 253-nucleotide ribosomal RNA is filed under the name uncultured bacterium. RNAcentral describes it as "partial 16S ribosomal RNA". It matches the Rfam family "Bacterial small subunit ribosomal RNA", at positions 524 to 776 of the family's 1533-position model. The record is from RNAcentral.
UACGGAAGGGGCAAGCGUUGUUCGGAAUCAUUGGGCGUAAAGGGUGCGUAGGCGGCGCGGUAAGUCGGGUGUGAAAUCUCGGAGCUUAACUCCGAAACUGCAUUCGAUACUGCCGUGCUUGAGGACUGGAGAGGAGACUGGAAUUUACGGUGUAGCGGUGAAAUGCGUAGAUAUCGUAAGGAAGACCAGUGGCGAAGGCGGGUCUCUGGACAGUUCCUGACGCUGAGGCACGAAGGUCAGGGGAGCAAACGGG